This 3095-nucleotide long non-coding RNA is filed under the name Pelobates cultripes (western spadefoot toad). The record is from RNAcentral. Lineage: Eukaryota; Metazoa; Chordata; Amphibia; Anura; Pelobatidae.
CCUUCUUGAUCCUGGAGUGUUGCCUGUGUUCCUCUGCUUCUGUGAGUCAGUCUGUGUCAGUCAGUAUUUGUCAGUCUAUGAGUCAGUCAGUGUCUGUCAGUCUGUCUGUCUGUAUCAGUUAGUCACACAGUGUCUGUCAGUCAGUAUGUCUGUGAGUCAGUGUCUGUAUCAGUAAGUCAAUCAGUGUCUGUCUCUGUCAGUCAUUGUCUAUGUCUGCCAGUCUGUGAGUCAGUCUGUGUUAGUCAGUGUCUGCCUGUCUGUAUCAGUCAGUCAGUGUUGGUCAGUCUAUGAGUCAGUCAGUGUCUGCCUGUCUGUAUCAGUCAGUUAGUGUCAGUCAGUGUCUACCUGUAUGUAUCAGUGUCUGUCAGUCAGUCACAGUAAGUCAAUCUGUGAGUCAGUCAGUCUCAGUCAGUCUGUGUCAGUCAGUCAGUGUGUCAGUCUCAGUCAGUCAGUCUGUGUGUCAGUCAGUCUCAGUCAGUGAGUGUGUCAGUCAGUCUCAGUCAGUGAAUCAGUCUGUGUCAGUCUCAGUCAGUCUGUGUCAGUCUCAGUCAGUGUGUCAGUCUCAGUCAGUCUGUGUCAGUCUGUCUCAGUGUGUCAGUCAGUGAGUAUAUCAGUCAGUGUGUGUCAGUCUCAGUCAGUCAGUAUAUCAGUCAGUCAGUGUGUGUCAGUCUCAGUCAGUCAGUCAGUAUAUCAGUCAGUCUCAGUCAGUGUGUCAGUCUCAGUCAGUCUCAGUCAGUAUAUCAGUCAGUCAGUAUAUCAGUCAGUGUGUCAGUCAGUCUGUGUGUCAGUCAGUGUGUCAGUCAGUCAGUGUGUCAGUCAGUGUGUCAGUCAGUCUGUGUCGGUCAGUCUGUGUGUGUGAGUCAGUCUGUGUGUGUGAGUCAGUGUGUCAGUCAGUGAGUCAGUCAGUCUGUGAAUCAGUCUCAGUCAGUGUGUCUGUGUGUCAGUUACUUUCAGUCAGACUGUGUGUCAGUCAGUGUCUCAGUCAGUCUCAGUGUGUCAGUCCCAGUCAGUCUGUGUGUCAGUCAGUAUCAGUCCGUGUCAGUCAGUCUGUGUGUCAGUCAGUUUCAGUCUGUGAGUCACUCUGAGUCAGUGUGUCAGUCUCAGUCAGUAUGUGAGUCAGUCUCAGUCAGUGUCAGUCUGCGAGUCAGUCUGUGUCAGUCUGUGUGUCAGUCAGUUUCAGUCUGUGAGUCACUCUGUGUCAGUGUGUCAGUCUCAGUCAGUAUGUGAGUCAGUCUCAGUCAGUGUCAGUCUGUGAGUCAGUCUGUGUGUCAGUCAGUCUCAGUCAGUCUGAGUUAUUCUGUGUAUCAGUCAGUGUGUCAGCCAGUCUCAGUCAGUCUGUGUCAGUCUCAGUCAGUCUGUGAGUGAGUCAGUCUGUGAGUCACUGUGUCAGUCUCAGUCAGUCUGUGAGUCACUGUGUCAGUCUCAGUCAGUCUGUGUGUCAGUCAGUUUCAGUCUGUGAGUCACUCUGUGUCAGUCUCAGUCAGUAUGUGAGUCAGUCUCAGUCAGUGUCAGUCUGUGAGUCAGUCUGUGAGUUAUUCUGUGUGUCAGUCUGUGUGUCAGUCUCAGUCAGUCUGUGAGUCAGUCAGUCUCAGUCAGUGAGUCAGUGUGUCAGUCAGUCUCAGUUAGUCUGUGUGUCAGUCAGUCUCAGUCAGUUAGUCAGUGAGUCAGUCAGUCUCAGUCAGUGAGUCAGUCAGUCUCAGUCAGUCAGUAUAUCAGUCUGUCAGUGUCAGUCAGUAUGUCAGUCUGUCAGUGUCAGUCAGUAUGUCAGUCAGUAUAUCAGUCAGUGUGUCAGUCAGUAUAUCAGUCAGUGUGUCAGUCAGUCAGUAUAUCAGUCAGUCAGUAUAUCAGUCAGUGUGUCAGUCAGUAUAUCAGUCAGUGUGUCAGUCAGUGUGUCAGUCAGUCAGUAUAUCAGUCAGUCAGUCAAUCAGUCAGUGUGUCAGUCAGUAUAUCAGUCAGUGUGUCAGUCAGUAUAUCAGUCAGUCAGUAUGUCAGUCUGUCUAUCAGUCAGUCAGUGUGUCAGUCAGUCAGUCUGUCUAUCAGUCAGUGUGUCAGUCAGUCAGUAUAUCAGUCAGUGUGUCAGUCAGUCAGUGAGUCAGUCAGUCUAUCAGUCAGUCAGUCUAUCAGUCAGUCAGUGUGUCAGUCAGUCAGUAUAUCAGUCAGUGUGUCAGUCCGGGCCCAUCAGUCAUCAGUGUGUCAGUCAGUCAGUAUAUCAGCCGCGUGUCGUCAUCAGUCCAUCAGUCAGUGUCAGCCUCGUCUAUCAGUCAGUGUGUCAAGCUCGCCCAUCGCCGUCAGUAUCAGUCAGUGUGUCAGUCAGUCCAUCAGUCAACAGUGUGUCAGUCAGUCAGUCUAUCAGUCAGUCUAUCAGUCAGCCGUCAGUCAGUCAGUCUAUCAGUCAGUCAGGCACAGCCGCGUCAGUCAGUCAGCCCAUCAAUGCGUGUCAGCCGGGGCCAGUCUAUCAGUCAGUCAGUCAGUCAGUCAGUGUGUCAGCCGUCUAUCAGUCAGUCUAUCAGUCAGUCAGUCAGUCAGUCAGUCUAUCAGUCAGUCAGUCUAUCAGUCAGUGUGUCAGUCAGUCAGUCUAUCAGUCAGUCAGUCAGUCAGUGUGUCAGUCAGUCUAGUCAGUCUAUCAGUCAGUCAGUCAGUCAGUAUAUCAGUCAGUCUAUCAGUCAGUCAGUCUAUCAGUCAGUCAGUCAGUAUAUCAGUCAGUGUGUCAGUCAGUCAGUCAGUCUAUCAGUCAGUGUGUCAGUCUAUCAGUCAGUCAGUGUGUAAGUCAGUCAGUGUGUCAGUCAGUCAGUAUAUCAGUCAGUCAGUAUAUCAGUCAGUCAGUGUGUCAGUCAGUCAGUAUAUCAGUCAGUCUAUCAGUCAGUCAGUGUGUCAGUCAGUCAGUGUGUCAGUCAGUCUAUCAGUCAGUCAGUGUGUCAAUCAGUCAGUAUAUCAGUCAGUGUGUCAGUCAGUGUGUCAGUCAGUCAGUAUAUCAGUCAGUCAGUGUGUCAGUCAGUCAGUGUGUCAGUCAGUCAGUCAGUGUGUCAGUCAGUCAGUCAGUCUAUCAGUCAGUGUGUCAGUCAGUCAGUCAGUCAGUCUAUCAGUCAGUGUGUCAG